RNAcentral lists this small nuclear RNA (107 nucleotides) under Procavia capensis (Cape rock hyrax). Lineage: Eukaryota; Metazoa; Chordata; Mammalia; Hyracoidea; Procaviidae. The record is from RNAcentral.
GUACUGGCUUUGGUAGCACAGAUAUUAAAAUUGGAAUGAUACAAUGAAGUCUAACAUGGCCCCUGAACAAGUAUGACAUGCAAAUGUGUGCAAUAUUCCAUGUUUUU